CGGGCCAGCUCGAGACGGCCACAUUGUGAGUCUGUGGGAGGGGUUCUACCGAGACGAAUGGACUUUUCUGAGGCAGGGCCCAGGAGCUGUAAUUCGAGGGGCCUCAGAUCUCCCUGCCACCCACCUGCCAGGGCCUGGUUGAAGAUGGCUGAGCGUAAAACAGAAUGCAAGUCAGCUGGAGCACGUACUACUGGAGGCAGAGCCCCAUGAGAAGGGGCCAAGAACCCGCACCCAUCAAAAUCAAGAAGAAAGGCUGAACCCGGAGAGAAAAGGGAGUUUGUUUUUAGGUCAGAGUCUCAUAUCCUGGUCUGCACUCGAUGGAUUCUUAAAGCAAUUGGAACCUCAGGCUGGUCCUGGAGCAAGAGCUGGUCCUUUACUUGGGGCUCUCAGAAGCAGUCUGUUCCCUGGACAUGCUCCUCUCUCUCAGUCCUCAGGUGGUGCCAGUUGGUGGGGGAGAAUGUUCCUGGCAUGUGGACUUGAAUCUGGCAGCAACUGAUGUUGCCAUGCAGAUCCCUUGGUUGCUAUGAGAUGGUAACAUCACUCUGCCCCACCAUUGGCCAGUGCCUCCUCAGCUGCGGUGCCUCCCAGGCUGUGUGGUUCUCACGCGGGCCACUGACACAGAGCUGUUACUAUGGUGAACUUUACAAUUUCCUUUGAUUGGUGGAUUUCAGAAAUAGGCCAUCAGCGGAAUUCAUUAUAUUCAGCUAAGUAAAAAUGAAAAAUAAAUACUAUAACUUUCCCCUCAUCACUAACAUGAAGGAAACGUGACCCUUCAUGACAUAAUAAAUCGCUGUUCGGUAACUUAGGAUCCUUCAGGGGACUGAAGCGGGAUGAUCCUCCUAUGCCAAAUUUGGGUGGGAAAGAUAUUCCCUGUAGCUUUGAGUCGACUCUUCAGAGUUAAGGGCAGUGGGCCAACCAGAGUUGGAACUUCAGAGUUGGGAGGAGGUGUGGGAUGGGGCAUGCAUUGAAAUGUAAACUCUAUUGUCUCUGAAGUGAUGGGUGAUGCUGGGGGCCUGAGUGUGGAGGGCAGUUUUACAUCUCAGGACAAUGUUUUCUCAGAUGCUCUUCCAGAAAGAAAAGCCAGGAGUACUCCUGGCUGGAGGCGGCAUGCCUGAGGUCAGAGUCAAAGUAGGGUUUGUGCUGUCUGAAUCCUUUCUCCCACUCUCCCCAGCCUGGCUCAGCUUCUCAGCUUCUCAGGUGGAUUGGUGAGUCCUGGCCAAUUACGCUUCAGCUCAUCUCUACUCUCAGCAAAUAGGAAAAGGGAGUGAAGGACUGAGUUUUAACUCUUCUAAUUUCGUAACCUGACUCUCUAUAAGAAAAAGUAGGAGAAAGACUGAAGAACCCGAGAGAACAGGCCUCUGAGCCCAAGCCAAGCCAUCGCAUCCCCUGUGACUUGCCCGUAUAUAUGCCCAGAUGGCCUGAAGUAACUGAAGAAUCACAAAAGAAGUGAAUAUGCCUUGCCCCACCUUGACUGAUGACAUUCCACCACAAAAGAAGUGUAAAUGGCCGGUCCUUGCCUUAACUGAUGACAUUACCUUGUGAAAGUCCUUUUCCUGGCUCAUCCUGGCUCAAAAAGCACCCCCACUGAGCAUCUUGCGACUCCCACUCCUGCCCACUGAGCACCUUGUGACCCCCACUCCUGCCUGCCAGAGAACAAACCCCCUUUGACUGUAAUUUUCCUUUACCUACCCAAAUCCUAUAAAACGGCUCCACCCUUAUCUCCUUUUGCUGACUCUCUUUUCUGACUCAGCCCGCCUGCACCCAGGAGAUUAAAAGCU
Homo sapiens (human) is the source of this 1778-nucleotide long non-coding RNA. Lineage: Eukaryota; Metazoa; Chordata; Mammalia; Primates; Hominidae. The record is from Ensembl.